This is a long non-coding RNA of Sinocyclocheilus grahami, 990 nucleotides long. RefSeq lists it as uncharacterized. Lineage: Eukaryota; Metazoa; Chordata; Actinopteri; Cypriniformes; Cyprinidae. The record is from RefSeq and is a predicted model, not a curated record. The transcript has 3 exons.
CAGCCCUCUUUUCCCCUUCCAUUCUUACAAAGAGUGACUUGACAUCUAAUUCUACAUCCAUCCUCAGCUACGUUAUCCAGUGAUAUGCUGAUGCAUUAUUCUUAUACUGCUCAAAUCCAGAGGAUGAUGUCUGAUGCCCUGAUUUGACGUUGCAGCCUUCAAAGGCCUUCAGUCUUUGAAUCAGUGGCAGGCGGGUCUCAAUGGAGAGAUACGUGUCUGAGGAAAGAAGCAGUGCUGAGGAGAGAAGUGGAGGCCAUCCAGAUUGGACAAUAAAAGGCGGCAGCUGCUCUGCCAUAGCAGAUGGGAGUCGUGCCGAUGCAGAGUUCAGUCGAAGUCUCAGAUGUGCCGCCAACUUCUGAUCUUAACUUGGUGAACGAUAAUAUGCCCUCUGGUGAUCAUUUCGGCAACUGUGUUUGUUUGUGGAAAUGUAGCAGCUGCCUUCAGAGCCAAACUUCUCAAAUGGUUAAUUGAUUAAUAGCAACCCAAUAAACAUCCUGCGUAGCACAUGAUAUGUGAAGUGUGGCGUAUUAAUCAUUGAGCACACUCAUAAGGAAACAUCACACUAGUACCAUCAAAACAUAGGUGAGGUGCCGUAAAUAAUUCUGGAUGAUUGCACUAAUUUACCCAAACUUUUAGAGUUAAAAUGAAUAUUUUACCAUUUACCUACCCUCACAUCAUUACAAAAGUAUUUACUUUUCUAUCUCAUCUGAAUUUUCCAGGAUGUCAAUACCAUUCUUCUCAUUUGUAAUUUGUAGUUUGUUUUGCAUAAAAGCAUCUGCUAAAUGAAUAAAUGUGAAUAUAAAAUGUAAAUGUGUGAAGAACAGACUGACUGCACUGAAAAUCCUCCCCAUCUGCUCAAAGCAUUCAAAAUCUAAUUUGCAGUUCAUACUCAUUCAUUCAAAACAUGUCACCUCGAGAUGUGCUGUGGCAGGUUUAAUGCCAGUCAUGUCAAAUGCAAUCGGCUCUUGCUUGUUUUGUGACACAAUUGCA